CUUUCUGGUCUGUACUGACGCUGAGGCGCGAAAGCGUGGGGAGCAAAACAGGAUUAGAUACCCUGGUAGUCCACGCCGUAAACGAUGAGUGCUAAGUGUUAGGGGGUUUCCGCCCCUUAGUGCUGCAGCUAACGCAUUAAGCACUCCGCCUGGGGAGUACGGUCGCAAGACUGAAACUCAAAGGAAUUGACGGGGGCCCGCACAAGCGGUGGAGCAUGUGGUUUAAUUCGAAGCAACGCGAAGAACCUUACCAGGUCUUGACAUCCCGUUGACCACUGUAGAGAUAUAGUUUCCCCUUCGGGGGCAACGGUGACAGGUGGUGCAUGGUUGUCGUCAGCUCGUGUCGUGAGAUGUUGGGUUAAGUCCCGCAACGAGCGCAACCCUUGAUCUUAGUUGCCAUCAUUUAGUUGGGCACUCUAAGGUGACUGCCGGUGACAAACCGGAGGAAGGUGGGGAUGACGUCAAAUCAUCAUGCCCCUUAUGACCUGGGCUACACACGUGCUACAAUGGACGAUACAAACGGUUGCCAACUCGCGAGAGGGAGCUAAUCCGAUAAAGUCGUUCUCAGUUCGGAUUGUGGCUGCAACUCGCCUACAUGAAGCCGGAAUCGCUAGUAAUCGCGGAUCAGCAUGCCGCGGUGAAU
This 643-nucleotide ribosomal RNA is filed under the name Lysinibacillus boronitolerans. RNAcentral describes it as "bacterial SSU rRNA". It matches the Rfam family "Bacterial small subunit ribosomal RNA", at positions 725 to 1367 of the family's 1533-position model. The record is from RNAcentral. Lineage: Bacteria; Bacillati; Bacillota; Bacilli; Caryophanales; Bacillaceae.